UGGGGAGCCGUGUUAAUCGGACGCGACAGGGAUGAUGAACGCAGGGGUUUUUCCGAUUUCACCCUGCGGCCAACGAAGUGGCAGUCGAGCGUCCCACCUGUCCGGCUC
Sphingomonas sp. Root241 is the source of this 108-nucleotide small RNA. It matches the Rfam family "Rhizobiales sRNA Atu_At1". The record is from Rfam. NCBI's taxonomy places the organism in Bacteria, Pseudomonadati, Pseudomonadota, Alphaproteobacteria, Sphingomonadales, Sphingomonadaceae.